Bos taurus (domestic cattle) is the source of this 790-nucleotide long non-coding RNA. The record is from Ensembl. NCBI's taxonomy places the organism in Eukaryota, Metazoa, Chordata, Mammalia, Artiodactyla, Bovidae.
CCCCCCCCCCAGGCCCGCCCCUCCGGAACCCGGAAGCUGGAGCGCGCGGGGGAGCGGCGGGCGCGGCGGGGCGGAGCGGCCAGACUAGCAGCGGGCUGGCGGCCGGGCGGGGACCUGGCCGGGGACCGGCGGCGCGCGGCGGCCGAGGCCCAGGGAACGCAGGUUCGAUCCCUAGUUGGGGAACUGAAAUCCCACAUGCUGUGGGGCAGCUGAGCCCAAGUGCGUCAACUACUGAGCCACUCCGUGCUCUGGAGCUCAAGCCACACCUAGGGAGAAGCCCACACACCAGAGAAAAAUCUUGUGUGCCGCAGUAAAGAUCCUGCAUGCCACAGCUGAGGCCCAAUGCAGCCAAAAGUGAAUAGACAAAUGUUAAAAAGUAAUAAUAAUAAGGUCUUGGCGGAUGUAAUUAAAGAUCUCACGGAGUCUGUAUCCUGAAUCCAGUAUCUGAUGUUUUCAUAAGAAGAGGGGAGGACACAGAGACAGAGAAGGCCUCCAAAGACAUCAGAGUGGUGCAGCUAGCAGCCAAGGAGAGGCAAGCAUCGCCAGAAGCCAAGAUGAGACACAGGAAGGUUUCUCGCUCAGGAUCUCCUGGAGGAACCAGCGCUGCCCACGCCUUGAUUUUUGGGCUCAUCCAGAAAGGCAAGACAGAAGAUGCCACAUGCCGUGGGGCAGCUCAGCCGUGCACCACAACUGUUGAGCCUGCAGUCUAGAGCCCAGAAGCCACAACUGUUGAGCUCACUUGCCCUGGAGCCCUGCUCCACAACCAGAGAGACCACCACAGUGAGAAGCC